RNAcentral lists this transfer RNA (89 nucleotides) under Myxococcales bacterium. RNAcentral describes it as "tRNA-Ser". It matches the Rfam family "tRNA". From Rfam's summary of the family: Transfer RNA (tRNA) molecules are approximately 80 nucleotides in length. Their secondary structure includes four short double-helical elements and three loops (D, anti-codon, and T loops). Lineage: Bacteria; Pseudomonadati; Myxococcota; Myxococcia; Myxococcales. The record is from RNAcentral.
GGAGAGGUGGCCGAGAGGCUGAAGGCACUGGUUUGCUAAACCAGCAUACGGAGCAAUCUGUAUCAGGGGUUCAAAUCCCCUCCUCUCCG